This 1137-nucleotide ribosomal RNA is filed under the name Triticum aestivum (bread wheat). RNAcentral describes it as "partial small subunit ribosomal RNA". Lineage: Eukaryota; Viridiplantae; Streptophyta; Magnoliopsida; Poales; Poaceae. The record is from RNAcentral.
AUGCCUCCGGAGACCAGCCUGCUGUCUGUGUCUGAUGUUAGCCUGGAGCGGCCAGAGCUUUCGGAGGUAGCAUGGGAGACGAGGCUCGCUCUGGCUGAACGACCAUGUCCGCUGGUGGUGAACCCUGAACAGAGGGCCCUUAUUGAGCCAGCUAUGAAAAAUUCAGACAAGUAUAUGCAAGAAAUCAGAGAGUAUUGGAAGAAGAUCGAUGAGCUAAAUGCAACCCUUCCUGAGAAGGAUCAGUUCUUCACUGUUUCUAUUCAACCUCGAUGUCCAGAACCAGCUUCCUUUUUCACGUACUACAGACUCUAUGCAUUGGACAACACCAAUCCAACUCCCCUUACAAGCAAACGAUUCACAGAACCGAGAAAAGACUACCCGGUAUUGACUAUGCUCCAAAUAUUCUCAUUCAGAUAUUUUGGCGACUUCCUGGGUGAUCAGAGCAUGCUAGUAUAUGGGUUCAUUGCUAUCCGGGAUGAGUUGGAUUGUCUGCGCAAUUACAUCUUCAACUGUCCUAGAGAGCAGGCGCACGAGAUAACACCGGAUUCCGGGACGUUGCCGCUCAUAUCUCCUGUUCGUGGGAACUCUAUUCUCGAUGGUGUUCUUCUUGAGUACAGCCUGAAGGUCAAGUCUAAUGGCAGUGACAACGCUGAGAUGGAUUAUGUAUUAGCUGAUGGUUGCAUUGAAUAUACAGAUCACAUGAUUGUGCGUGGCACUACACUGAAGUCGAGGCUUUUUGGCAAGCUUGGCCCAGUGGACUUCCAUUAUGCUUUCCUUAGCCAGGAUGCAAUUGUGCUGUAUGAUGGGUCUACUGAUUCUUCUCCUGCACAAUCAGUGUUCCCUAUAUCAUCAGUUGUUACUGUUCAACUGGGUCAUGAGCUAAAGCUUAAUUUUGGCAUCACCUCUAAGGAUACUGUGCGCAAGGGGUGUGCGAGGAGGUUUGUGCCCUGGAAAGCAGCGUCGGCGCAGUACCAAAGGCCUGAUGUUGUGAUGGAUGGAGAGCCGGAACCAAAGACAUAUUCCCGUUUCCUCACUUUCAUUUCACAGAAAUGUUCAUUCGACAGUGGUAAAGUCUCAGUCGGUGACGAGUUCAAAGCUGAGGUUACAGUGACCUGGUCUACCAUGGGGCCGUAUUGA